Long non-coding RNA from Cebus imitator (Panamanian white-faced capuchin), 3657 nucleotides. RefSeq lists it as uncharacterized. The record is from RefSeq and is a predicted model, not a curated record. Lineage: Eukaryota; Metazoa; Chordata; Mammalia; Primates; Cebidae. The transcript has 7 exons.
GCCUCCGUCCCGCCCUCCCACUGCUUUUACUUUCUACGCAUUUCUAUUUCCUCUUUUAUUUAUUUAUUUGUGAUAAACUUAAAUGACCCGGCGAAGGAGGCGGUACUCUAGGAGAAGGCUGAGGAUGACGAAGCGGCGGCCUGGGGCCAAUUGUCGAGAGGCCUGCGGGUUUCAGUUUGAACCAUCAAACUGUGGCCUGCUUGUCUGACUCCCUUGAAUGUGCUGUCCAUUCGUCGGGGCCUGAGAGUGGCAGCAGCAGAGGCCAAGGAAGGUAUGGAGACGGUCUAAGAUAACUCUGAAAAAUCUCCAGACUGCUUUCCAAGCAACUCAUACCAGUUAAAAUGGCUAUGGUUAAAAAGUCAAAAAACAACACAUGCUGAUGAAACUGAAGAGAAAAUGAAACACUUAACGCUGUUGGUGGGAAUCCAGUUGAAUUCCUACAUAGACAAUUCCAGGAUGCUUAUGAGACAUGAAUUAGGACAUCAGCAACAGGUAUCAUCUACUGAACUGUUCAGACGCAAAUGAAUUGAAAAGGAGAUGAACAAGAGAGCACGAUAUAGAGAGAAAAUGUCAUCCCAUAUCACCAAAGGACAGAACAAGACUGCAGCUAUCUCCCUUUGGGGGUCAACCUUACUACUCAACCUGAGAUGCAAAGGAACAAUUCAGAAGCCAUAUGGGGACAAUUUUCAUAAGUGCUUGACCUCAACAAAAAAAGUAAAAUGGAUUUUAUCGUACUUAGAAAAUCAACAAUUGCAGUCUGGAUUCAAACAUCACUGUUUGACGCACCCAACUUGAGUCAAAAGAUGCUUCAAAUCCCACUAUGCUGGAGGUAAAUACACUCAAGAUUUUAAGAAUGUCUCUUGAUAGUGUAUAGAAUAAGAUAGCUUCUCAGCUUUCAGCUUUACUUCAUGGUUUUAACUAUCAAAAGAAGCAAGGUGAAUAGGUCUUGUAACCAAGUGAGUGUUGCUAGAGCCAAUCCAUGAAUUAGUUACACUCACUAAUUUUAAAUAAACCUAAUUUUUAAUACUUUAAAUGAUUUCUGUGAAAUGUUGGAUAUAAUGUCAAUUCUUAAAGGAAGACCGAUGUUUCAUGUUGCAUAAUGAUUCAGAGUAUAAGCUGUAAAUCCAGAUUGUGUGCAUGCAAAAUCAGUCUGCCAACUACCACCUUUGAAUCCUCGAGCAAGUAACUUAAUUGCUGUAGGACUCAGUAACCUUUUCUGUAAGAUGGGAAUAAUAGGAGUACCUGUAUUCUAGGCUUGUUGGAAAGGUCUUAGAACAGUUUCUAGCACAUAGAUAUGCUAAGGAAAUGAUUGUUAUUAAUACUUACUGUAUGCUUGAUCAUUAAGAUUACAAACAUACCUCAAGAUUAUGACUCACACAUCAGAAACAUGCACAGAGACCUGGAGACUGAAAGCAGUCUUUCAAAGUCUUCUAGCAACAGAAAUACCUUACAUGCACAGCUCAGGUAUUCAUUUUUUUGAAGUCUUUUAUUUCUUUAUAACUUCUCAUUUUUGUUCUUAUUUUUUUUUUCUCAAACCCAGUGGAAGUUUUUUGGACUUUUUAAUGCCUGUGGUUAUAGCUAUUACAAUGGGCUUCUGUAUUAGUUGCAUAUUGCUCUGUGACAAAUUACCCUAAAAUUUAGAUUCUUAAAAUAAUAACAGACUUACAUUAUCUCUGGCAACUUCUAGCUGAGUGAUUCGGGCUCAGGGUUUCUCAAAAGAGUGUAGUAAAGAUGUCAUUUGUUGUUGCAGCCAUCUGAAAAUUUGCCUGAGACCAAAGAAUCUAUUUCUGCGAUGACUCCCUCAAGUAACCAAGUGUGUGCUGGUGGUUGGUGGGAGGUGUCAGUUUCCCACCACGUGAACCACUUCAUAUGAUUGGAAUGCCACAAUAUCUUUAAUGACUUCACCUUGGAAGUCACAUUCUAUCAUUUUUGCAAUAUUUUAUUGAUUAUUCAGUGUGGAAGGAGACUACACAAAAACAUGAAUACCAGGAGGCUAGAAUCCUUGGGGCCAUCUUAGAUACUGACUAACCUAGCAUUUUUACCUAUUCAUAUAUUUCAUUUACUCAGUGCAUCUGUCAGUAUCAUUUAUAGUCAAUGCACUAGGCCAGGUGCUGCAGUGGGGCAUAAAGGUGUGUAAGUUGAAAGUCCUGCUCUUUAAAAUUUAAUACUUGGUGAAAGGGUUGAAACACCUACUCCCAUAACUGCAGUACAAGGUAAUAUAGGACAAAUAGCAAGGAUAUAGUGAUGUUGGUAAGCACCUCAGGUGUUCAGAGGAAGGGGAGCAAUUUCUUGUUGGGGUUUCAGAACAAAGGGAAUGUGAUCUGGGUCUCAGAAUAAAAUAGGAUCACUGUGGACAAAGACAAGUGAAAAUACAUCUCAUGUUGAGUGAACAAUGUGAAUAGGAUCAUGAAGGAUCAUGAAGUUGAGAAAGCAAGCUGAGUUCAGGGGCCAGCAACCAGAAUACUUUAGAAUAGCUUUCUAAUACUUUAGAAAGUGGAAAGAUAAAGAUAGGGAAAAGUAGGCAGAGACCAGUUUAUGCAAGUCCUUGGAAGCUAUGUUAAAAUUUUUGAGUCUACUCAGCAAAUACUGGGAGCAGAUAAAAUUUUUUGAGAUGGUAAGUAAUGGGACAAAAUGUUUACUCUUUUAGUUUACUCUCCAAGGGGAAUCAGAGAGUGAGAAAUCAGAGACAUAGAAACAGGGUAGGAAGAACUCACAAUAAGGAGAGAAGGUAAUAACCAUAAAUAUUAUAAGUAGAAUUAGAAAGGAAUAAUCUUGAAGGAGGAAUUUGAAGAAGUUUGUAAUUCAUUGUAUAGCACAUUUGAAGAAGCUGUCCCAAUAACUUGAGAUUUGCUACCUGUUUUGGAGGAGAAGUUGGUUUAAAGAGGAAAAUGGUUUAAAGAAUUUGUUUUAGGACAUAUCAGUUAAAAAGAACUUGAGGAUUCUUCGUAUGCUCUCUUUUUCUUUUCCUGCACUGAAGCUUAAUCUCUUUGGGUAGUUGCUUCCUGAGAUGAAUCCUGGGAACUUGGGGAGUUGGGGAAUCCUAGCGCUGAGGUGAGGAAAGAGGGCAGUGUGGGAAAGAACAGGGCUAGAAUCUCAGAAAAUUGAGUUAGUUGGCUCCAGAGUCUGUUGAGCUCUGGUAAUCAUGAUGGUGGACAAGGGAUGGGAUUGUGAGAAAAUGAUGAACUGAAAAAUAAUAUAGUGACUGAGGUCACAGAAUUUGAAAUCAUACAGGCAUGAUUAAAAAUCCAGGUCUCCAUUUCUAGCUGACCUUGGCAAAAUGCAUAAUUUGCAGAAAGCUCAUUUGCCUAACCUGUAAUAAAUAGUAUUCAUAAUAGGGUCUUGUGAGGUUUCAAUGAAAUGUUUGGCAUAUCAAGCUUUCAGCAUGGUGGCUGGCACAUAGAAAACACUCUGUAAUGAACAGUGGAUUUAUUGAAAUGGUGGGCUUUAUGCUAUUACAAAAAGAGAUUGAUACUGUCCCAGGAUCUUUUAUACCAGGUGAGUAGAAUUACUGAUCUCUUUUGGAAUCUGAUUAAUGCCUUACUGCAUACAGCUGGAGGGAGGUGAGUAUUCCAUCUUGAGUUAUUUUUGCAUAUGAUGUAAGGAAAGGGUCCAGUUUCAGUUUUUUUGCACAUGGCUAGCCAGUUUUCCCAACACCAU